CACCGCGGUUAUACGAGAGGCCCAAGUUGAAAGACCCCGGCGUAAAGAGUGGUUAAGUUAGAAUUUUACUAAAGUCGAACACCCUCACGGCUGUUAUACGCACCCGAGGGUAAGAAGCUCAACCACGAAGGUAGCUUUAUUUAUCUGAACCCACGAAAGCUACGGACA
This 168-nucleotide ribosomal RNA is filed under the name Lycodes hubbsi. RNAcentral's name for it is "partial 12S rRNA". Lineage: Eukaryota; Metazoa; Chordata; Actinopteri; Perciformes; Zoarcidae. The record is from RNAcentral.